Molecule: ribosomal RNA, 253 nt
Filed under: uncultured bacterium
Lineage: Bacteria
Description: partial 16S ribosomal RNA
Rfam family: Bacterial small subunit ribosomal RNA
Source: RNAcentral
GACAGAGGUGCCGAGCGUUAGGCGGAAUCACUGGGCUUAAAGCGUGUGUAGGCGGAUCGGUAAGUACCUUGUGAAAUCCCACAGCUUAACUGUGGAACUGCUUGGUAUACUGCCAGUCUUGAGCCACUUAGGGGCUACCGGAACAAAUGGUGGAGCGGUGAAAUGCGUAGAUAUCAUUUGGAACGCCAAUGGUGAAAACAGGUAGCUGGGAGUGUGCUGACGCUGAGACACGAAAGCCAGGGGAGCAAACGGG